This 1282-nucleotide ribosomal RNA is filed under the name metagenome. Its description in RNAcentral is "bacterial SSU rRNA". It matches the Rfam family "Bacterial small subunit ribosomal RNA", at positions 247 to 1520 of the family's 1533-position model. The record is from RNAcentral.
AGUUGGUGAGGUAAAGGCUUACCAAGGCGACGAUCUGUAGCGGGUCUGAGAGGAUGAUCCGCCACACUGGAACUGAGACACGGUCCAGACUCCUACGGGAGGCAGCAGUGGGGAAUUUUGGACAAUGGGGGCAACCCUGAUCCAGCCAUGCCGCGUGAGUGAAGAAGGCCUUCGGGUUGUAAAGCUCUUUCGGCCGGGAAGAAAUCGCAUGGGCCAAUACCCUGUGUGGAUGACGGUACCGGAAUAAGAAGCACCGGCUAACUACGUGCCAGCAGCCGCGGUAAUACGUAGGGUGCGAGCGUUAAUCGGAAUUACUGGGCGUAAAGCGUGCGCAGGCGGUCUUGUAAGACAGGCGUGAAAUCCCCGGGCUUAACCUGGGAACUGCGUUUGGGACUGCAAGGCUAGAGUACGGCAGAGGGGGGUGGAAUUCCACGUGUAGCAGUGAAAUGCGUAGAGAUGUGGAGGAACACCAAUGGCGAAGGCAGCCCCCUGAGUCGAUACUGACGCUCAUGCACGAAAGCGUGGGUAGCAAACAGGAUUAGAUACCCUGGUAGUCCACGCCCUAAACUAUGUCAACUAGGUGUUGGGUGGGUAAAACCAUUUAGUACCGUAGCUAACGCGUGAAGUUGACCGCCUGGGGAGUACGGCCGCAAGGUUAAAACUCAAAGGAAUUGACGGGGACCCGCACAAGCGGUGGAUGAUGUGGAUUAAUUCGAUGCAACGCGAAAAACCUUACCUACCCUUGACAUGCCAGGAACUUGCCAGAGAUGGCUUGGUGCCCGAAAGGGAGCCUGGACACAGGUGCUGCAUGGCUGUCGUCAGCUCGUGUCGUGAGAUGUUGGGUUAAGUCCCGCAACGAGCGCAACCCUUGUCGUUAAUUGCCAUCAUUUAGUUGGGCACUUUAACGAGACUGCCGGUGACAAACCGGAGGAAGGUGGGGAUGACGUCAAGUCCUCAUGGCCCUUAUGGGUAGGGCUUCACACGUCAUACAAUGGUCGGUACAAAGGGUUGCCAAGCCGCGAGGCGGAGCCAAUCCCAGAAAGCCGAUCGUAGUCCGGAUUGCAGGCUGCAACUCGCCUGCAUGAAGUCGGAAUCGCUAGUAAUCGUGGAUCAGCAUGUCACGGUGAAUACGUUCCCGGGUCUUGUACACACCGCCCGUCACACCAUGGGAGCGGGUUCCGCCAGAAGUAGGUAGCCUAACCGCAAGGGGGGCGCUUACCACGGCGGGGUUCGUGACUGGGGUGAAGUCGUAACAAGGUAGCCGUAGGGGAACCUGCGGCUG